This is a non-coding RNA of Clavulina sp. PMI_390, 81 nucleotides long. NCBI's taxonomy places the organism in Eukaryota, Fungi, Basidiomycota, Agaricomycetes, Cantharellales, Hydnaceae. The record is from the annotation of a GenBank genome assembly.
GUGCCAGUAGUUAAGCGGUUAACAUUCACUUGAAAUUUGGUUUUUCAAAGAACAACGUCCGUUCGACUCGGACCUGGUACA